RNAcentral lists this unclassified non-coding RNA (265 nucleotides) under Hevea brasiliensis (rubber tree). The record is from RNAcentral. Lineage: Eukaryota; Viridiplantae; Streptophyta; Magnoliopsida; Malpighiales; Euphorbiaceae.
CAAAAUCUUCAAAAAGCUGUAAUAAGCCUCCCGUACUGAGCACUCUUCAUUCUACCAAUCAUCUCAUCCCCCUCUCCAAAUCUCGCAACCUGAUACCAACUCUUAAUCAAAACAAGAAACGUAGUCUCAUCAGGAUUACAACCCAUUCCCCCAUCCUGUAGAAUAAAUUCAACGCAUCCUGAGUUUUCCUAAUCUUGCAUUGAUUAUUGAUUAAGACAUUGAAUGAUUCCACAUUUCUUGGAACUCCACGAGUGUCCAUUUCUAC